GCAAGUGGCAGCACUUUUCUCAAACUUUAAGGUAUGAACAAAUUCGAGUGGACUAUGUGGCAGCAUUGCUCUUAGGCUCUAAAGGCAUGCACUGCUCAGUUUUGGAUGUUUUAUGAGGCUAUCUAUGGAUUGCGGCAAAAGGACCAAGGCGGUCAUGGUGGCUAUUUUCAUUAGUCAUUAAAGAUUUUGUUGUGCGAGCAAAUCAUCUGAGUUGUUGCUGUACAAGCCAACGUCUUAGUUUUGUAGGUACUUGAGUGUAGCUUGGUUAUUACCUUAGUAUUUCGUGUGAAAUAUUGUACAAGUACAAAUGUUGAUGGUUUUAAUGAAAAUGAUGAGCAAUAUUUGUCAA
This is a long non-coding RNA of Sorghum bicolor (sorghum), 349 nucleotides long. RefSeq lists it as uncharacterized. The record is from RefSeq and is a predicted model, not a curated record. The transcript has 2 exons. Lineage: Eukaryota; Viridiplantae; Streptophyta; Magnoliopsida; Poales; Poaceae.